RNAcentral lists this ribosomal RNA (829 nucleotides) under uncultured Gammaproteobacteria bacterium. Its description in RNAcentral is "bacterial SSU rRNA". It matches the Rfam family "Bacterial small subunit ribosomal RNA", at positions 8 to 826 of the family's 1533-position model. The record is from RNAcentral. Lineage: Bacteria; Pseudomonadati; Pseudomonadota; Gammaproteobacteria.
AGAGUUUGAUCCUGGCUCAGAUUGAACGCUGGCGGCAUGCCUAACACAUGCAAGUCGAACGGUAACGACGGGAGCUUGCUCCCGGGCGACGAGUGGCGGACGGGGGAGUAAUACUUAGGAAUCUGCCCAGUAGUGGGGGACAACUCGAGGAAACUCGAGCUAAUACCGCAUACGCCCUACGGGGGAAAGCGGAGGAUCUUUCGGGACUUCGCGCUAUUGGAUGAGCCUAAGUCGGAUUAGCUUUUUGGGGGGGUAAAGGCCUACCAAGGCAACGAUCUGUAGCUGGUCUGAGAGGACGAUCAGCCACACUGGGACUGAGACACGGCCCAGACUCCUACGGGAGGCAGCAGUGGGGAAUAUUGGACAAUGGGGGCAACCCUGAUCCAGCAAUGCCGCGUGUGUGAAGAAGGCCUGCGGGUUGUAAAGCACUUUCAGUAGAGAAGAAAUGCCCAUGGUUAAUACCCGUGGGUCUUGACGUAACCUACAGAAGAAGCACCGGCUAACUCCGUGCCAGCAGCCGCGGUAAUACGGAGGGGGCGAGCGUUAAUCGGAAUUACUGGGCGUAAAGCGCGCGUAGGCGGUUUGGUCAGUCGGAUGUGAAAGCCCUAGGCUCAACCUGGGAAUGGCAUUCGAUACUGCCUGACUAGAGUAUGGUAGAGGGAAGUGGAAUUUCCGGGGUAGCGGGGAAAUGCGUAGAUAUCGGAAGGAACACCAGUGGCGAAGGCGACUUCCUGGGCCAAUACUGACGCUGAGGGGCGAAAGCGUGGGGAGCAAACAGGAUUAGAUACCCUGGUAGUCCACGCCGUAAACGAUGAGAACUAGAUGUCGG